GAUGAACGCUGGCGGCGUGCCUAAUACAUGCAAGUCGAGCGAACGGACGAGAAGCUUGCUUCUCUGAUGUUAGCGGCGGACGGGUGAGUAACACGUGGAUAACCUACCUAUAAGACUGGGAUAACUUCGGGAAACCGGAGCUAAUACCGGAUGAUAUUUUGAACCGCAUGGUUCAAAAGUGAAAGACGGUCUUGCUGUCACUUAUAGAUGGAUCCGCGCUGCAUUAGCUAGUUGGUAAGGUAACGGCUUACCAAGGCAACGAUGCAUAGCCGACCUGAGAGGGUGAUCGGCCACACUGGAACUGAGACACGGUCCAGACUCCUACGGGAGGCAGCAGUAGGGAAUCUUCCGCAGUGGGCGAAAGCCUGACGGAGCAACGCCGCGUGAGUGAUGAAGGUCUUCGGAUCGUAAAACUCUGUUAUUAGGGAAGAACAGAUGUGUAAGUAACUGUGCACAUCUUGACGGUACCUAAUCAGAAAGCCACGGCUAACUACGUG
Molecule: ribosomal RNA, 497 nt
Filed under: uncultured bacterium
Lineage: Bacteria
Description: partial 16S ribosomal RNA
Rfam family: Bacterial small subunit ribosomal RNA
Source: RNAcentral